UAUCUCUCCAUACCGGGAAGGAUGAGAAGCUUCGACUAAGGUUCGAUUCGAGCGCAGCGAGAAAGCGCUGCUGCAGGCAACGACCCGAAGGGUGAGGAGCGGAGCGACGAAUAAUCCUUCCCCCACCACCA
This 131-nucleotide small RNA is filed under the name Salmonella enterica subsp. salamae serovar 56:z10:e,n,x str. 1369-73. RNAcentral describes it as "RtT RNA". It matches the Rfam family "RtT RNA". From Rfam's summary of the family: This family represents a bacterial cis-regulatory element known as RtT RNA. RNAcentral also lists the same sequence under 1 other name. The record is from RNAcentral. Lineage: Bacteria; Pseudomonadati; Pseudomonadota; Gammaproteobacteria; Enterobacterales; Enterobacteriaceae.